Molecule: ribosomal RNA, 1024 nt
Filed under: Escherichia coli
Lineage: Bacteria; Pseudomonadati; Pseudomonadota; Gammaproteobacteria; Enterobacterales; Enterobacteriaceae
Description: partial 23S ribosomal RNA
Rfam family: Bacterial large subunit ribosomal RNA
Source: RNAcentral
CCGGUAAACGGCGGCCGUAACUAUAACGGUCCUAAGGUAGCGAAAUUCCUUGUCGGGUAAGUUCCGACCUGCACGAAUGGCGUAAUGAUGGCCAGGCUGUCUCCACCCGAGACUCAGUGAAAUUGAACUCGCUGUGAAGAUGCAGUGUACCCGCGGCAAGACGGAAAGACCCCGUGAACCUUUACUAUAGCUUGACACUGAACAUUGAGCCUUGAUGUGUAGGAUAGGUGGGAGGCUUUGAAGUGUGGACGCCAGUCUGCAUGGAGCCGACCUUGAAAUACCACCCUUUAAUGUUUGAUGUUCUAACGUUGACCCGUAAUCCGGGUUGCGGACAGUGUCUGGUGGGUAGUUUGACUGGGGCGGUCUCCUCCUAAAGAGUAACGGAGGAGCACGAAGGUUGGCUAAUCCUGGUCGGACAUCAGGAGGUUAGUGCAAUGGCAUAAGCCAGCUUGACUGCGAGCGUGACGGCGCGAGCAGGUGCGAAAGCAGGUCAUAGUGAUCCGGUGGUUCUGAAUGGAAGGGCCAUCGCUCAACGGAUAAAAGGUACUCCGGGGAUAACAGGCUGAUACCGCCCAAGAGUUCAUAUCGACGGCGGUGUUUGGCACCUCGAUGUCGGCUCAUCACAUCCUGGGGCUGAAGUAGGUCCCAAGGGUAUGGCUGUUCGCCAUUUAAAGUGGUACGCGAGCUGGGUUUAGAACGUCGUGAGACAGUUCGGUCCCUAUCUGCCGUGGGCGCUGGAGAACUGAGGGGGGCUGCUCCUAGUACGAGAGGACCGGAGUGGACGCAUCACUGGUGUUCGGGUUGUCAUGCCAAUGGCACUGCCCGGUAGCUAAAUGCGGAAGAGAUAAGUGCUGAAAGCAUCUAAGCACGAAACUUGCCCCGAGAUGAGUUCUCCCUGACUCCUUGAGAGUCCUGAAGGAACGUUGAAGACGACGACGUUGAUAGGCCGGGUGUGUAAGCGCAGCGAUGCGUUGAGCUAACCGGUACUAAUGAACCGUGAGGCUUAACCUUACAACGCCGAAGG